RNAcentral lists this ribosomal RNA (242 nucleotides) under uncultured Staphylococcus sp. RNAcentral describes it as "partial 16S ribosomal RNA". It matches the Rfam family "Bacterial small subunit ribosomal RNA", at positions 98 to 334 of the family's 1533-position model. Lineage: Bacteria; Bacillati; Bacillota; Bacilli; Caryophanales; Staphylococcaceae. The record is from RNAcentral.
GCGGACGGGUGAGUAACACGUGGAUAACCUACCUAUAAGACUGGGAUAACUUCGGGAAACCGGAGCUAAUACCGGAUAAUAUAUUGAACCGCAUGGUUCAAUAGUGAAAGACGGUUUUGCUGUCACUUAUAGAUGGAUCCGCGCCGCAUUAGCUAGUUGGUAAGGUAACGGCUUACCAAGGCAACGAUGCGUAGCCGACCUGAGAGGGUGAUCGGCCACAUUGGAACUGAGACACGGUCCAG